Molecule: ribosomal RNA, 298 nt
Filed under: Staphylococcus aureus
Lineage: Bacteria; Bacillati; Bacillota; Bacilli; Caryophanales; Staphylococcaceae
Also listed under: 2 other names
Description: partial 16S ribosomal RNA
Rfam family: Bacterial small subunit ribosomal RNA
Source: RNAcentral
UUUUAUGGAGAGUUUGAUCCUGGCUCAGGAUGAACGCUGGCGGCGUGCCUAAUACAUGCAAGUCGAGCGAACGGACGAGAAGCUUGCUUCUCUGAUGUUAGCGGCGGACGGGUGAGUAACACGUGGAUAACCUACCUAUAAGACUGGGAUAACUUCGGGAAACCGGAGCUAAUACCGGAUAAUAUUUUGAACCGCAUGGUUCAAAAGUGAAAGACGGUCUUGCUGUCACUUAUAGAUGGAUCCGCGCUGCAUUAGCUAGUUGGUAAGGUAACGGCUUACCAAGGCAACGAUGCAUAGC